CGCGGCCUAUCAGCUUGUUGGUGAGGUAACGGCUCACCAAGGCAUCGACGGGUAGCUGGUCUGAGAGGACGAUCAGCCACACUGGGACUGAGACACGGCCCAGACUCCUACGGGAGGCAGCAGUAGGGAAUCUUGCGCAAUGGGCGAAAGCCUGACGCAGCAACGCCGCGUGGGGGAUGAAUGCCUUCGGGUUGUAAACCCCUUUCAGCAGGGACGAAAAUGACGGUACCUGCAGAAGAAGGUCCGGCCAACUACGUGCCAGCAGCCGCGGUAACACGUAGGGACCGAGCGUUGUCCGGAUUUAUUGGGCGUAAAGAGCUCGUAGGCGGUUCUGUAAGUCGGAUGUGAAAACUCAGGGCUCAACCCUGAGACGCCAUCUGAUACUGCAGUGACUAGAGUCCGGUAGAGGAAGAUGGAAUUCCUGGUGUAGCGGUGGAAUGCGCAGAUAUCAGGAGGAACACCAAUGGCGAAGGCAGUCUUCUGGGCCGGUACUGACGCUGAGGAGCGAAAGCAUGGGGAGCAAACAGGAUUAGAUACCCUGGUAGUCCAUGCCGUAAACGUUGGGCACUAGGUGUGGGGUCUUCUAACGGAUUCCGUGCCGUAGCUAACGCAUUAAGUGCCCCGCCUGGGGAGUACGG
This 638-nucleotide ribosomal RNA is filed under the name uncultured Actinomycetes bacterium. RNAcentral describes it as "bacterial SSU rRNA". It matches the Rfam family "Bacterial small subunit ribosomal RNA", at positions 232 to 885 of the family's 1533-position model. Lineage: Bacteria; Bacillati; Actinomycetota; Actinomycetes. The record is from RNAcentral.